Molecule: ribosomal RNA, 253 nt
Filed under: uncultured bacterium
Lineage: Bacteria
Description: partial 16S ribosomal RNA
Rfam family: Bacterial small subunit ribosomal RNA
Source: RNAcentral
UACAGGGGGUGCAAACGUUGCUCGGAAUCAUUGGGCGUAAAGCGCACGUAGGCGGUUCGUUAUGUCGGAUGUGAAAGCCCUUGGCUUAACCGAGGAAGUGCAUCCGAAACUGGCGAGCUAGAGUACGAAAGAGGAUCGCGGAAUUCCCGGUGUAGAGGUGAAAUUCGUAGAUAUCGGGAAGAACACCCGUGGCGAAGGCAGCUCGCUGGGACGGUACUGACGCUGAGACGCGAAAGCGUGGGGAGCAAACAGG